RNAcentral lists this ribosomal RNA (585 nucleotides) under uncultured bacterium. Its description in RNAcentral is "partial 16S ribosomal RNA". It matches the Rfam family "Bacterial small subunit ribosomal RNA", at positions 355 to 1375 of the family's 1533-position model. The record is from RNAcentral.
UGGGGAAUUUUGGACAAUGGGCGAAAGCCUGAUCCAGCAAUGCCGCGUGUGUGAAGAAGGCCUUCGGGUUGUAAAGCACUUUUGUCCGGAAAGAAAUCCUUGGCUCUAAUACAGUCGGGGGAUGACGGUACCGGAAGAAUAAGCACCGGCUAACUACGUGCCAGCAGCCGCGGUAAUACGUAGGGUGCAAGCGUUAAUCGGAAUUACUGGGCGUAAAGCGUGCGCAGGCGGUUUGCUAAGACCGAUGUGAAAUCCCCGGGCUCAACCUGGGAACUGCGUUGGUGACUGGCAGGCUAGAGUAUGGCAGAGGGGGGUAGAAUUCCACGUGUAGCAGUGAAAUGCGUAGAGAUGUGGAGGAAUACCGAUGGCGAAGGCAGCCCCCUGGGCCAAUACUGACGCUCAUGCACGAAAGCGUGGGGAGCAAACAGGAUUAGAUACCCUGGUAGUCCACGCCCUAAACGAUGUCAACUAGUUGUUGGGGAUUCAUUUCCUUAGUAACGUAGCUAACGCGUGAAGUUGACCGCCUGGGGAGUACGGUCGCAAGAUUAAAACUCAAAGGAAUUGACGGGGUCAUAGCUGUUUCCU